RNAcentral lists this ribosomal RNA (506 nucleotides) under uncultured bacterium. RNAcentral describes it as "partial 16S ribosomal RNA". It matches the Rfam family "Bacterial small subunit ribosomal RNA", at positions 29 to 523 of the family's 1533-position model. The record is from RNAcentral.
AGUGAACGCUGGCGGUAGGCCUAACACAUGCAAGUCGAACGGCAGCACAGGAGAGCUUGCUCUCUGGGUGGCGAGUGGCGGACGGGUGAGGAAUACAUCGGAAUCUACUUUUUCGUGGGGGAUAACGUAGGGAAACUUACGCUAAUACCGCAUACGACCUACGGGUGAAAGCAGGGGACCUUCGGGCCUUGCGCGAUUGAAUGAGCCGAUGUCGGAUUAGCUAGUUGGCGGGGUAAAGGCCCGCCAAGGCGACGAUCCGUAGCUGGUCUGAGAGGAUGAUCAGCCACACUGGAACUGAGACACGGUCCAGACUCCUACGGGAGGCAGCAGUGGGGAAUAUUGGACAAUGGGCGCAAGCCUGAUCCAGCCAUACCGCGUGGGUGAAGAAGGCCUUCGGGUUGUAAAGCCCUUUUGUUGGGAAAGAAAUCCAGCUGGCUAAUACCGGGUUGGGAUGACGGUACCCAAAGAAUAAGCACCGGCUAACUUCGUGCCAGCCGCCGCCGUAG